AGAGUUUGAUCAUGGCUCAGAACGUACGCUGGCGGCACGCCUUAUACAUGCAAGUCGAACGAAGUAGCAAUACUUAGUGGCAGACGGGUGAGUAACAUGUAGGUAUCUACCCUUUGGUGAGGAAUAACACGAGGAAACUUGUGCUAAUACCUCAUAAGUCUUUACGGAGAAAGCUUUAUGCGCCGAAGGAUGAGCCUGCACUUGAUUAGUUUGUUGGUGGGGUAAUGGCCUACCAAGACUUUGAUCUAUAGCUGAUCUGAGAGGAUGAUCAGCCACAUUGGGACUGAGACACGGCCCAAACUCCUACGGGAGGCAGCAGUAGGGAAUAUUGCACAAUGGAGGAAACUCUGAUGCAGCGAUGCCGCGUGAGUGAAGAAGGCCUUUGGGUUGUAAAGCUCUUUCGUCGGGGAAGAAAAUGACUGUACCCGAAUAAGAAGGUCCGGCUAACUUCGUGCCAGCAGCCGCGGUAAUACGAAGGGACCUAGCGUAGUUCGGAAUUACUGGGCUUAAAGAGUUCGUAGGUGGUUAAAAAAGUUGGUGGUGAAAUCCCAGAGCUUAACUCUGGAACUGCCAUCAAAACUUUUUAGCUAGAGUAUGAUAGAGGAAAGCAGAAUUUCUAGUGUAGAGGUGAAAUUCGUAGAUAUUAGAAAGAAUACCAAUUGCGAAGGCAGCUUUCUGGAUCAUUACUGACGCUGAGGAACGAAAGCAUGGGUAGCGAAGAGGAUUAGAUACCCUCGUAGUCCAUGCCGUAAACGAUGUGUGUUAGACGUUGGAAAUUUAUUUCCAGUGUCGCAGCGAAAGCGUUAAACACACCGCCUGGGGAGUACGACCGCAAGGUUAAAACUCAAAUGAAUUGACGGGGACCCGCACAAGUAGUGAGCAUGUGGUU
This 889-nucleotide ribosomal RNA is filed under the name uncultured bacterium. Its description in RNAcentral is "bacterial SSU rRNA". It matches the Rfam family "Bacterial small subunit ribosomal RNA", at positions 8 to 946 of the family's 1533-position model. The record is from RNAcentral.